UACAGAGGGUGCAAGCGUUAAUCGGAAUUACUGGGCGUAAAGCGCGCGUAGGUGGUUCGUUAAGUUGGAUGUGAAAUCCCCGGGCUCAACCUGGGAACUGCAUUCAAAACUGUCGAGCUAGAGGACGGUAGAGGAAGGUAGAAUUCCCGGUGUAGUGGUGAAAUGCGUAGAUAUCGGGAGGAAUACCAGUGGCGAAGGCGGCCUUCUGGGCCGUUCCUGACGCUCAGACGCGAAAGCUAGGGGAGCAAACGGG
This 253-nucleotide ribosomal RNA is filed under the name uncultured prokaryote. Its description in RNAcentral is "partial 16S ribosomal RNA". It matches the Rfam family "Bacterial small subunit ribosomal RNA", at positions 524 to 776 of the family's 1533-position model. The record is from RNAcentral.